UUAAUGGAGAGUUUGAUCCUGGCUCAGGACGAACGCUGGCGGCGUGCCUAAUACAUGCAAGUCGAGCGGGGUUGUUUAGAAGCUUGCUUCUAAAUAACCUAGCGGCGGACGGGUGAGUAACACGUAGGCAACCUGCCCACAAGACAGGGAUAACUACCGGAAACGGUAGCUAAUACCCGAUACAUCCUUUUCCUGCAUGGGAGAAGGAGGAAAGGCGGAGCAAUCUGUCGCUUGUGGAUGGGCCUGCGGCGCAUUAGCUAGUUGGUGGGGUAAAGGCCUACCAAGGCGACGAUGCGUAGCCGACCUGAGAGGGUGAUCGGCCACACUGG
Molecule: ribosomal RNA, 329 nt
Filed under: Paenibacillus polymyxa
Lineage: Bacteria; Bacillati; Bacillota; Bacilli; Caryophanales; Paenibacillaceae
Description: bacterial SSU rRNA
Rfam family: Bacterial small subunit ribosomal RNA
Source: RNAcentral